AUGGAUCCCUCUUCGGCCACGAAAGCCACACUGAAAGUCCUGGGCCUCUGCUUCAUCCUCCUGCUCCUGGUGGCCGCCGUGACGGUCUCCGUGGCCGUCCUGGUGAGGCACUCGGAGGCCACCCGCCAGCUGAGAGGGUGCCAGGAGAGGGCCGCCAACGAGACGGGGGCCCUGGCCGACCGGGUGGCCGAGCUGGAGCGCGAGAGAGCCCAGCGGGGCAAGCAGUUGGAGAAGCUGGCCCAGCGGGAGAAGGACCUCCAGAGGCAGCUCGGCCAGGCCAAGGAAAGCCGGAAGAGGCUCAACGCCACCGUGAUGGGCUGCCUGGAGAACGUGACCCGGUUGGAUGCCAACCUAUCGGCCCUCCAGAACGAGAUGUUCACCCUCCAGGCUGAAGGAAUGGAUGUGAACAGUCAGAAUGGGGCCCUCCUAGCGGAAAUGGCCCAGUGGCGUGAGCAGGUGACGGGACUCGAAGGCCGGCUGGCGGGCGCCGUGGAUGCGCGAGAUGCCGCCGAGGCCGAGAAGGAGGCCUGCAACGCCAGGCAGGAUGCGCUCCAAGAAAGCCUGCAGAGCUACCUGGCUGAGAUCGCCUCCCUCCAGCGCCGCCUCCAGGGCCGGUCCUCGCCCUCGUCCUCGUCCCGCCGCAGGUGCCCCCCCUUCCGGUACUUAUUCUGGGGGCUGGUGACCCUUUGCGCUCUGUUCCCCCUUGAAGGGCUGAGCUUUCUCCUCUAGUCUAGAGGACCUAAACGGUGCCUUUGACGGGCAGGAGAUGAGGAAACGGUGUUUUUCUUCACCCAUUGUCUUCAAGGAUGAGGAGACCCACUCCAGAUCUGCUGGGAUAUUACACUUUCAAGAAAGAACCAAGAGGGAGAAAAAUUCAGGGUGCUCCUAACCAUCAAAACAAGACAAUUUUAAAAAAAUGUGUUGGAAUGUAACUUUCCAAUGAAUUAAAAUUUAUGAAUUUUUUUCCUGUCAAGUUGGAUGUUUUUUUUAAAAAAAAUUCAAUCUCAGGGUUGCAAAGAAGGAACACCGCCAUUUAAUAUAUAUAUAUGUUAUCAUUUUUACGGCUUUUUUCCCCUCCUUGAAUCAGCUCCACUUGUCCAGGGCUCUUCUGCCUGAUUCGCCCUCUGAACAGCCCUAUGAGGUAGGCCGGUCUGAGACGGAGUGUAACAGAUCCCCAGACUCACCUAGGGAUAUGUCAUGGC
This 1202-nucleotide long non-coding RNA is filed under the name Pogona vitticeps (central bearded dragon). RNAcentral describes it as "lncRNA (ENSPVIG00000017967.1)". Lineage: Eukaryota; Metazoa; Chordata; Lepidosauria; Squamata; Agamidae. The record is from RNAcentral.